AGGACGAACGCUGGCGGCGUGCUUAACACAUGCAAGUCAAGGGGGGCCGCAAGGUCAACCGGCGAACGGGUGCGUAACACGUGAGCAACCUGCCUAAGUGUGGGGGGAUAGCCGGCCCAACGGCCGGGUAAUACCGCAUACGAUCACUAUUUGGCAUCAUUUGGUGAUGAAACUUUCGAGGCACUUAGAGGGGCUCGCGGCCUAUCAGCUUGUUGGUGGGGUAAUGGCCUACCAAGGCAACGACGGGUAGCUGGUCUGAGAGGAUGGCCAGCCACAUUGGGACUGAGAUACGGCCCAGACUCCUACGGGAGGCAGCAGUGGGGAAUAUUGCGCAAUGGGCGAAAGCCUGACGCAGCGACGCCGCGUGGGGAUGAAGCAUUUCGGUGUGUAAACCCCUGUUGCUCGGACGAACAACUGGUUUGACAGUCUGACGGUACCGGGUGAGGAAGACGACCGGACUAACUCCGUGCCAGCACGCCGGC
This 482-nucleotide ribosomal RNA is filed under the name uncultured soil bacterium. RNAcentral describes it as "bacterial SSU rRNA". It matches the Rfam family "Bacterial small subunit ribosomal RNA", at positions 26 to 518 of the family's 1533-position model. The record is from RNAcentral.